Long non-coding RNA from Homo sapiens (human), 1167 nucleotides. RefSeq lists it as uncharacterized. The transcript is spliced from 3 exons. The record is from RefSeq and is a predicted model, not a curated record. Lineage: Eukaryota; Metazoa; Chordata; Mammalia; Primates; Hominidae.
CUCUACAGAUACUUCUCCAAGGCCUGAAAAACCAGACCUUCUUCUUCUCUCUGCCCCACUGCCCCUGGCAAGAAGCAUAGUAAUAGGCUUAGGACAGACCAGAACAGAUAAGUAAAUCUUUUUUGUUAUUGUUGCUUCUCCGAGAAUGAUACCAGUGUUUGCCCCUUUGUUCCAACACAGCCAGGGCUCUCUUUAUGACAUGUGUAGCUUGGGGUGAUCGUGGCUUUUGGUCUUCUAACUUCUCACUGUCAAACAUUCUAACAGUUUUCAGGGUUUAAAUGGCAGUCAUUGAUAUGAACAGAACCACCCCUGCUGACACCCUGUAGGGGAUAAAGCCGGAAUCUUCAGAAGGAAAAAAUCAUGAGUUUUCUACACUCAGAAAUUAAUGCUCAGGCAUGAAGAGUAAGCCUGGAGCUGGGGCAGAAGGCCUUUGAGAAGUCUGGCCUGGGCAUCUCCUGAGAGGGGCUUUCAUUCUUUUCUUUUUUUCAUUCUACAAAUGAUUCCUGCACAUCGACUGCAUUCAAGGGGAUGCAACGUUGACAAGACAGACAAGGUCCUUGCCCUCCUGGGAUGACUUCUAAGGGGGCAGGUAGACCAUAACAAGUCAAAACAUGAAUAAGUUACAUUUACAUAAUAGCGCUAUAGUUACUUUGAAAUUACUGGUGCUAUAAAGAAAUUAAGACAGUUAUUAACACAGGGAUUUUUAUGGGGAAAGAAUUUGCUUCAAAUCACAUAGUGAAGUCCUCCCCGAAGAGGAGCUGUUUGAGCUGGUUCUUCAAUAAUAAGACUAACCUAUGAAAAAGCAAGGGCUAUGGAUCAAGUAUUCUUUGAAGUGCCCUGUUCACUUCAUGGUUCUGUAGAGAAUUAGAAAACUUCCAGGAGUUUCCAAGAAUGCUGAUAUCCAGUUCACCACUUUACCCACUGGUGAGGAGAAGAAAGUCAAAGGAAACCAUAUGUCUUAGACCUUAGUCUCCACUGGUGACCUCUGUCUACCUUGACCCUUUCUCUAUCAGGUUGGAAGAAGCCUUGGAGGGCACACAGAAGCACUUCCUCCUUUUACAAACAAGAAAAGGGACAGAGUGACAACUUUAAAAAAAUCUACAUCUGAAGUUAGUUCUAUAGUUUCCUAUCUCCAGAAGAGGCAGAAAUGAACUCCACCAUGCCUAA